Molecule: long non-coding RNA, 320 nt
Filed under: Salvia miltiorrhiza (redroot sage)
Lineage: Eukaryota; Viridiplantae; Streptophyta; Magnoliopsida; Lamiales; Lamiaceae
Description: long non-coding RNA (SMIL_LNC001085)
Source: RNAcentral
AUCGUGAUCCCAGACUCGGGGAAGAGAAGCGCCGUCAUUACUGUGGAAGAGUUCAUUGUCGUCUGAUCAGCAGUGGUGAAAACCCUAGUAGAACUGUGUAGUGGCGAUGAAGAUCGACUGACAGGAGCAAAGUUAUUAGACACAAUGGGGUAAUUUGGGAGGGGAGGCUGGAGCGAUGCCAUUUCUCACAAAUAGUUCAGAUCGGCAGCGGAGAUUGCAGCGCCGACGUCGAGAGAGCAACGUGCGUUUAGCGACGCCCGCUGCCUUGCCGGAGCAGCUCGCUGUGGAGUAGGCCGCGCGACGUCGAUGGCGUCGCUGCU